UCCUUGGUAGUCUAGUGGUUAAGACUCCACACUUCCACUGCAGGGUGUGUGGGUUCAAUCCCUGUUUGGGGAA
Molecule: transfer RNA, 73 nt
Filed under: Ovis aries (sheep)
Lineage: Eukaryota; Metazoa; Chordata; Mammalia; Artiodactyla; Bovidae
Rfam family: tRNA
About the family: Transfer RNA (tRNA) molecules are approximately 80 nucleotides in length.
Source: Rfam by way of RNAcentral